Molecule: transfer RNA, 526 nt
Filed under: uncultured bacterium
Lineage: Bacteria
Description: partial 16S-23S ribosomal RNA intergenic spacer
Rfam family: tRNA (bases 50-123)
Source: RNAcentral
CAAGUAUCCACAACUUAUCGGUUGUUCAGGCGAGAAGAGCCUCGGAUGAGGGUCUGUAGCUCAGCUGGUUAGAGCACCGUCUUGAUAAGGCGGGGGUCGUUGGUUCGAACCCAACCAGACCCACCAAAUCAAGGGUUGCUCGAGACGGAGGGGCUGUAGCUCAGCUGGGAGAGCGGCGGCUUUGCAAGCCGUAGGUCGUCGGUUCGAUCCCGACCAGCUCCACCAGGACUCAAGGCGAGAAGUAAGAGAUGCCGACUGUAGCGGUUCGCAGUGGUCGUCAUCUCUUACUUCUUGGUCGGUCGCUUCGGCGGUCGGGCGCAGAGGUUUGCUCUUUAACAAAGUGGAAGAAGUGUAGUACGUACCGAGCCGGUGCGUACUGCAAGUUGUGUGAUUGCAUUGAUCCGGCGCUGAGCUUGUCAGCGUAGUGCCGGGUCGCACAAACGAGUUCGUUCCUGUACGUGGGCCUUCGCGGUGGCAGCAUCGCAGAGGGUUCAAGGUUAUAGGAUCAAGCGACUAAGUGCAUGUG